GUUUCCCUAGAUUGUGCGUAAGGUGAUUAGUUGUUGAAUCCGAACAUUUCUGAUAAGGGAAUCUGGUGUUCUAAUACGGUGUUGAAUGCCCAACAUUGUUGGGACUCCUAAUGUAUUAGACAGGAUACCCACCUGCUACCAAGCGGGUUUUUAUCCUAACACCUACGGCAAUUUGGGCAAUUA
Molecule: non-coding RNA, 183 nt
Organism: Turicibacter sp. H121
Lineage: Bacteria; Bacillati; Bacillota; Erysipelotrichia; Erysipelotrichales; Turicibacteraceae
Rfam family: 6S / SsrS RNA
About the family: E. coli 6S RNA was the first non coding RNA to be sequenced, but its function was unknown until recently.
Source: Rfam